CCUGGGGCAUGUCUAGUACGGCGAGUGAACAGGCAAGAGCUCAGAUUUGAAAGGCACUUUUGUGCCGUUGUAUUCUGAAGUUAGGGUCCUGAGAAACGAUGCUUAAGUCUUCUGGAAAGGAGCGCCAUGGAGGGUGAUAGCCCCGUCUAGCAUUGACCUCAUAUAGGAUCUUAACAUGGAGUCGAGUUGUUUGGGAAUGCAGCUCAAAUGGGUGGUAUGCUCCAUCUAAAGCUAAAUAUCUGCGAGAGACCGAUAGUAAACAAGUACUGUGAGGGAAAGAUGAAAAGAACUUUGAAAAGAGAGUGAAAAAGUACGUGAAAUUGUUGAAAUGGAAGGGUAGGCCGCUAACCAUGUAGAGCCGUGUUUGGGGGGAAGAUAAAUGCUGUAGAAUGUAGCUCCUCGGAGUAUUAUAGAUGCAGUUCAUAUUCCCACCCGAGCGCGAGGAUCUCAGGUUCUACUAAAUGGUGGUCUACCACCCGUCUUGAACCCACGGACCA
Molecule: ribosomal RNA, 497 nt
Filed under: Starmerella bacillaris
Lineage: Eukaryota; Fungi; Ascomycota; Dipodascomycetes; Dipodascales; Trichomonascaceae
Description: partial large subunit ribosomal RNA
Rfam family: Eukaryotic large subunit ribosomal RNA
Source: RNAcentral